UCCCAGGUGUCUUAGUGGUAAAGAAUCUCCUGCAGUGUGGGAGACGUGGGUUUGAUUCCUGGCUUGGGAA
Molecule: transfer RNA, 70 nt
Filed under: Ovis aries (sheep)
Lineage: Eukaryota; Metazoa; Chordata; Mammalia; Artiodactyla; Bovidae
Rfam family: tRNA
About the family: Transfer RNA (tRNA) molecules are approximately 80 nucleotides in length. Their secondary structure includes four short double-helical elements and three loops (D, anti-codon, and T loops).
Source: Rfam by way of RNAcentral